RNAcentral lists this ribosomal RNA (253 nucleotides) under uncultured bacterium. RNAcentral describes it as "partial 16S ribosomal RNA". It matches the Rfam family "Bacterial small subunit ribosomal RNA", at positions 524 to 776 of the family's 1533-position model. The record is from RNAcentral.
UACGUAGGGUGCAAGCGUUAAUCGGAAUUACUGGGCGUAAAGCGUGCGCAGGCGGUUUUGUAAGUCUGACGUGAAAUCCCCGGGCUUAACCUGGGAAUGGCAUUGGUGACUGCACGGCUAGAGUGUGUCAGAGGGGGGUAGAAUUCCACGUGUAGCAGUGAAAUGCGUAGAGAUGUGGAGGAAUACCGAUGGCGAAGGCAGCCCCCUGGGAUAACACUGACGCUCAUGCACGAAAGCGUGGGGAGCAAACAGG